GAUGAACGCUGGCGGCGUGCCUAAUACAUGCAAGUCGAGCGAACAGACGAGGAGCUUGCUCCUCUGACGUUAGCGGCGGACGGGUGAGUAACACGUGGAUAACCUACCUAUAAGACUGGGAUAACUUCGGGAAACCGGAGCUAAUACCGGAUAAUAUAUUGAACCGCAUGGUUCAAUAGUGAAAGACGGUUUUGCUGUCACUUAUAGAUGGAUCCGCGCCGCAUUAGCUAGUUGGUAAGGUAACGGCUUACCAAGGCGACGAUGCGUAGCCGACCUGAGAGGGUGAUCGGCCACACUGGAACUGAGACACGGUCCAGACUCCUACGGGAGGCAGGAGUAGGGAAUCUUCCGCAAUGGGCGAAAGCCUGACGGAGCAACGCCGCGUGAGUGAUGAAGGUCUUCGGAUCGUAAAACUCUGUUAUUAGGGAAGAACAAAUGUGUAAGUAACUAUGCACGUCUUGACGGUACCUAAUCAGAAAGCCACGGCUAACUACGUG
Molecule: ribosomal RNA, 497 nt
Filed under: uncultured bacterium
Lineage: Bacteria
Description: partial 16S ribosomal RNA
Rfam family: Bacterial small subunit ribosomal RNA
Source: RNAcentral